UUAAUUCAUGCACCAACAUAAA
Molecule: small nuclear RNA, 22 nt
Filed under: Arabidopsis thaliana (thale cress)
Lineage: Eukaryota; Viridiplantae; Streptophyta; Magnoliopsida; Brassicales; Brassicaceae
Description: snRNA_10332
Source: RNAcentral